This is a long non-coding RNA of Pteropus alecto (black flying fox), 3219 nucleotides long. RefSeq lists it as uncharacterized. The transcript has 2 exons. NCBI's taxonomy places the organism in Eukaryota, Metazoa, Chordata, Mammalia, Chiroptera, Pteropodidae. The record is from RefSeq and is a predicted model, not a curated record.
GACGGGCUUGUGCCGGAGCCCGGGCUUGUUAAUGAUCAGCUCCAGCUGCCUGCGGUUGAAGUUGGACACCCCGAUGGACCUGCUUCGAUUCUUCAAUCGAUAACCAGAGUGAAACGAUUUCUGCUAACCUUCAAAGCUACUGGAAAAUGAAUAAGGCAAAGAUCCACAUAGCUCAGCUGAAGUUUCUUCAGGGACCUUUCCAGGAUGGUUUGGACAAAUUCUGGACGAAGACAGGUGCUCCACAGCUGCAACAAUCAAAAGUGGGAUUAUUUCUUCACGACUCCCUAGGAGAGAUUUAAUUAAAAUAGCAAAUAACCAUCAACAACCAUAACCCGCUGACAGUCGAUGGCCAGUGACAAACCACCCCGUGAAGCUCGUGAGUUCUUCAUCGAUUUUGUGAGAUUACUAUUUCUCCUUCAUCGGAAGGAAAAAUAAAUAUUUAUGGACCAGGUAAUAGGUUGAGAUACGACGGCUAAAGCUCAGAGAGGUUAAAAAACUUUUUUCAGUUAAGAAAUUUCACAAGGUCAAAUAUAGAGACAAUUAAAGAGCUGAAACUGGUUAUUAGUUUCCAAAAACUAAAUGGCAUUACCUCAUACCAUAGCUAAGAAAAGAUGAAGUCACUGUGUCAAAACUUGAGCAUGUCCGAGUUGGAAAAGCCAAAUCUAUUCCUGAAUUUUAAAAAAUAUGAUAAUGACGGCUAUCUAAUAACAGCAUUUAAAAUAUAUUAAUUUUUUGGCAUUUAAAAUAUAUUAAAUGCUUUUUAAAAAGUUCUAUAUGUACUUUUCAUGUAACGCUCCUGAAAAUCCUAUGAUGUAAAUACUAUCUGCAUUUCACAGCCUGAGGUUUGGUGGGCCUAAGUCCAAGGUCACACACGUAGCAGGAUUCAGACGUGGGAGGUCUGACUACAGGAGCCACGUCCCGGCCGGCAGGCCCCCAACCAGCCCCCUGGCUUGAGGUCUGACAGCCAACGAGCUUGGGCCGAGCGAGGACAGGUGCCUCCGAGAGUGGGAGCCACAGACGCACACAGAGCACCUUCGUAGUGAAGAAGAGGUCGUCCCUUGUCACCGUGCCGUCGGCCAUCUUCUUCUGGAGGGCCCGGCCAACCUCCUCUUCAUUCUGGUAUAUGUAGGCCGAGUCGAUGUGGCGGUAGCCAGCGCCGAUGGCUCUCUCGGUGGCCUCUUCUACCUUGCUAUUAGCCACCUGGGACAACGUGAAAAGGCGAAGACCUGCUUGAUUCAGGAAGGGCCAUCGAGGGAACCUGUGGCUUGUCUAAGGGCGAGGCAGCUGGAGGUGACAACACUAGAGGUCACUUCUAGCCGGCGGUGAAAGCGUCACGAGUGACUCUGAAGGAAAGAAGCCCUGAUCGGUUGCGGUCGCCAGCUCCUGUGGGGCAGACGCGCGCCCCUUGGCACCAGCGACCCCCCAAUGUGGGGGAAAGAGGCAACCGAAGCUCGUGAGCAGACGGCUGGGGCUCGCCCUCCGCCUCCCGGUCUGCGGACGUAGGCCGUCUGUAGGCUUUUUAAGUCUCCAGAAUUGUUUCCCACCCUCACCCCCUCUACCUCAUUCCGUAAUUAAAAGGUCUCUCGGGUGUCUUGUCACGUUUUUCAACUCCUGGUGGAGAUUCGCUGACCGUCCACAGGUCGAGGGGCCAAAUCAAAGGAAAAGCAACACUCCCCACCACUGUCCUCCCCAGUCACACCGCGUGGCGCUCGCGUGAGGGGACCAACCCCAUGGCCUCCCUGAAACAACCGGGAACUUCACCGAGAGCCUCUGAACCCGUGCUGCUGGGAGGUCGCGUGCGAGGACCAGGCCACACGCGACGUCCAGCGCCCCACACCCACGGAGACUUUCCCAGUGCACGGUCCUAGCCGCCCGGCCUCCGAGAGACCGUCUCCAUCCCCACCCCCGGGCCACCAAAACUCUCUCGGGCAUUAAUCACGUCUCUCACUCUCUCUCCAGGUCCUUUUGCCACAGAGAUUUCCCUGCGUGUCCUGUGAGUGUGGCGGACAGGGACGACUGGACGUUGGAAGUCACAGGAAAACUUCGCCACGGGCGAGCUUGCUGCGGCGAUCCUGACCACGGGGUUUUAUUCCUUCCACUCUAUGUGAAGUGGCUCCGACCGGACAGCAGGGUAGAGUGACAGACACGGACCUGCUCGCCCCUGAACCAAAAAAAGUGGUGACCCCCUUCCCUGUCCCUUGAUCUGGCCACUCCAGGUGUGGUGCUCGGAGCAGCAGCAGGACCCUUGGGAGCUCGCUGGGACGUGGGCAUUGGCACCUUCUCCCGGACUUACAAGGUCAGAACCUUUGCAGGCGGGGUCCCCAAAUCUGCAUUUCUAACAAGAUCCCUGGGUGUUUACACCUAUUCAGAUUGAAAAGUAUUGACUUACUGCACAAAAAUCACCUAACCCGGGGAGAAAUCCUACAAAUCGUAACACAUCUUACAAAUGAGGAAAGGGAGGCCCAUUGGAUCUUUCAGAUUCGCACGGUGACUGGCUCCGAUCGGGACCCCGCCUGUCCCCUGAGUCCCCAAGGCCGCUGUGAUCACCUUAGUUGCAGCGGAGGUGCCAAACCCCAGUAUGGGCAUGAAGUGUCCGUCGUUCAGCUUCAUGGUAAGGUGUGUUCCUAGACUCAUCUUCGUUCACCCUUCUGGCUAAACAAACCAAUUUUCUUUACUGAGAGAAAUCUGCACAGGGAAGAAAACAGUACAGCUGCUAUUUUUAGCAGCUUGAAUGAAAUAUGAGUCAAAUACCAUGAAAUCACCGCUUUUAAAUUAUGCGAGUCAAUGGCUUUUCGUAUACUCAUAGAAUCAUUUCCACUAGACUACCGUAGAGCAUUCUCAUCAUCCCUAAAGAAACCUCAUACUCAUUAGAAACAACGCCCCAUUCCCCGCUCCCUCCAGCCGCUGGCUUUGCAGACAGGCGAUCUACCAGAUGCGGAGUUUAAAACGCUAGUUAUAAGGAUGCUCGACACACUUAGAAAAGAACGGAUGAACUCUGUGAGAACUUUAACAAAGAGACAGAAAACAUAAAGUGGAGAUGGAAAAUUUAAAAGGGAACCAGUCAGAAAUGAAGACUACAAAUGAAGAGUCCAUGACAGGGAAUCAAUAGACCGGAUGAAGCAGAGGAUCGAAUCAGUGAUUUGGAAGACAAGGUAGAAGAAAACACCCAGUCAACAGCAACAAGAAAAAAGUAUCCAAAAAAAAAAAAGAAAACGAGGA